Molecule: unclassified non-coding RNA, 289 nt
Filed under: uncultured bacterium
Lineage: Bacteria
Description: contains 16S-23S intergenic spacer region
Source: RNAcentral
AUUAGGCUUUUGAGGGGCCUACCUCCAUGGGAUCGCCUUGUCACUCUUGUAAAGGAAAGGGACAGGCUUCUUAACCGGGAUAGGCUGGAAGCCUUAAGGCUUUUGGGUGGCAUCAUCUCUGGUGAAGUGGAUCACCAAUGGUUUGGGCUUGCUCGGGCUUUUGUUAGCCGAUUGCAUGCACGCAUGUUGCUCCCCGUGCUUGUCCCACCAACUUCAAACCGGCCUUAAUCCAUUAUCCUUUGCAGCAAAUCCUUUGCCACAGGGCAUACUUCUACGUCGUGCGCCGCCC